UACGUAGGGGGCGAGCGUUGUCCGAAGUUACUGGGCGUAAAGCGUACGUAGGCGGCCUGUUAAGUUACAUCUGAAAGGUGACAGCUCAACUGUCAACGGUGGUGUAAGACUGGCAAGCUUGAGGCAAGCAGAAGAGUGUGGAACUCCGAGUGUAGCGGUGGAAUGCGUAGAGAUUCGGAAGAACACCAGUGGCGAAGGCAGCUCGCUGGGACGUGACUGACGCUGAGACGGCGAAAGCGUGGGGAGCAAACAGGG
This 255-nucleotide ribosomal RNA is filed under the name uncultured bacterium. RNAcentral describes it as "partial 16S ribosomal RNA". It matches the Rfam family "Bacterial small subunit ribosomal RNA", at positions 524 to 777 of the family's 1533-position model. The record is from RNAcentral.